UGAGGAAUAUUGGUCAAUGGGCGAGAGCCUGAACCAGCCAAGUAGCGUGCAGGAUGACGGCCCUAUGGGUUGUAAACUGCUUUUAUGUGGGGAUAAAGUGCGUGACGUGUCAUGCAUUGCAGGUACCACAUGAAUAAGGACCGGCUAAUUCCGUGCCAGCAGCCGCGGUAAUACGGAAGGUCCGGGCGUUAUCCGGAUUUAUUGGGUUUAAAGGGAGCGUAGGCUGUCUAUUAAGCGUGUUGUGAAAUAUACCGGCUCAACCGGUGGCUUGCAGCGCGAACUGGUCGACUUGAGUAUGCAGGAAGUAGGCGGAAUUCAUGGUGUAGCGGUGAAAUGCUUAGAUAUCAUGACGAACUCCGAUUGCGCAGGCAGCUUACUGUAGCAUAACUGACGCUGAUGCUCGAAAGUGCGGGUAUCAAACAGG
This 424-nucleotide ribosomal RNA is filed under the name Bacteroidota bacterium. RNAcentral describes it as "Bacteroidetes bacterium partial 16S ribosomal RNA". It matches the Rfam family "Bacterial small subunit ribosomal RNA", at positions 355 to 776 of the family's 1533-position model. The record is from RNAcentral. Lineage: Bacteria; Pseudomonadati; Bacteroidota. RNAcentral also lists the same sequence under 2 other names.